RNAcentral lists this ribosomal RNA (727 nucleotides) under Vibrio sp. GWS-TZ-H188. Its description in RNAcentral is "bacterial SSU rRNA". It matches the Rfam family "Bacterial small subunit ribosomal RNA", at positions 11 to 727 of the family's 1533-position model. Lineage: Bacteria; Pseudomonadati; Pseudomonadota; Gammaproteobacteria; Vibrionales; Vibrionaceae. The record is from RNAcentral.
GUUUGAUCAUGGCUCAGAUUGAACGCUGGCGGCAGGCCUAACACAUGCAAGUCGAGCGGAAACGAGAAGUAGCUUGCUACUUCGGCGUCGAGCGGCGGACGGGUGAGUAAUGCAUAGGAAGUUGCCCAGUAGAGGGGGAUAACCAUUGGAAACGAUGGCUAAUACCGCAUAACCUCUUCGGAGCAAAGCGGGGGACCUUCGGGCCUCGCGCUACUGGAUACGCCUAUGUGGGAUUAGCUAGUUGGUGAGGUAAUGGCUCACCAAGGCGACGAUCCCUAGCUGGUCUGAGAGGAUGAUCAGCCACACUGGGACUGAGACACGGCCCAGACUCCUACGGGAGGCAGCAGUGGGGAAUAUUGCACAAUGGGCGAAAGCCUGAUGCAGCCAUGCCGCGUGUAUGAAGAAGGCCUUCGGGUUGUAAAGUACUUUCAGUUGUGAGGAAGGGUGUGUAGUUAAUAACUGCGUAUUUUGACGUUAGCAACAGAAGAAGCACCGGCUAACUCCGUGCCAGCAGCCGCGGUAAUACGGAGGGUGCGAGCGUUAAUCGGAAUUACUGGGCGUAAAGCGCAUGCAGGUGGUUUGUUAAGUCAGAUGUGAAAGCCCGGGGCUCAACCUCGGAAGGUCAUUUGAAACUGGCAAACUAGAGUACUGUAGAGGGGGGUAGAAUUUCAGGUGUAGCGGUGAAAUGCGUAGAGAUCUGAAGGAAUACCAGUGGCGAAGGCGGCCC